AGCACAAGUAUAUUUUUUACAUGGAUUUGACAUGGGUCAACAUCAAUGAAAAUCUAUUAAGUGUCACCAACAGUGCAAGAUUGUUUGUUUAACCACCCCCAAAUCAUGUGAUUAUGUGUUUAAACCUUUUUUAAAAUUUAAUUAUUUUCUUUCAACACCCCUAAUUCAUGUGAUUAUGUUUUUAAACUUUUUAAAAUUUACUUAUUUUCU
This 210-nucleotide long non-coding RNA is filed under the name Capsicum annuum. RNAcentral describes it as "long non-coding RNA (CANN_LNC007190)". Lineage: Eukaryota; Viridiplantae; Streptophyta; Magnoliopsida; Solanales; Solanaceae. The record is from RNAcentral.